GUGUCAGCCGCCGCGGUAAUACGAAGGUGGCAAGCGUUGUUCGGAUUUACUGGGCGUACAGGGAGCGUAGGUGGUUUGGUAAGCCCUCCGGGAAAUCUCCCGGCUUAACCGGGAAAGGUCGGAGGGUACUGCCUGACUAGAGGACGGGAGAGGAGCGCGGAAUUCCCGGUGUAGCGGUGAAAUGCGUAGAGAUCGGGAGGAAGGCCGGUGGCGAAGGCGGCGCUCUGGAACGUUCCUGACACUGAGGCUCGAAAGCGUGGGGAGCAAACAGGAUUAGAAACCCUUGUAGUCC
Molecule: ribosomal RNA, 292 nt
Filed under: uncultured bacterium
Lineage: Bacteria
Description: partial 16S ribosomal RNA
Rfam family: Bacterial small subunit ribosomal RNA
Source: RNAcentral